RNAcentral lists this ribosomal RNA (498 nucleotides) under uncultured bacterium. Its description in RNAcentral is "partial 16S ribosomal RNA". It matches the Rfam family "Bacterial small subunit ribosomal RNA", at positions 30 to 523 of the family's 1533-position model. The record is from RNAcentral.
AUUGAACGCUGGCGGCAUGCCUUACACAUGCAAGUCGAACGGUAACAGGUCUUCGGAUGCUGACGAGUGGCGAACGGGUGAGUAAUACAUCGGAACGUGCCCGAUCGUGGGGGAUAACGGAGCGAAAGCUUUGCUAAUACCGCAUAAGAUCUACGGAUGAAAGCAGGGGACCGCAAGGCCUUGCGCGAACGGAGCGGCCGAUGGCAGAUUAGGUAGUUGGUGGGAUAAAAGCUUACCAAGCCGACGAUCUGUAGCUGGUCUGAGAGGACGACCAGCCACACUGGGACUGAGACACGGCCCAGACUCCUACGGGAGGCAGCAGUGGGGAAUUUUGGACAAUGGGCGCAAGCCUGAUCCAGCCAUGCCGCGUGCAGGAUGAAGGCCUUCGGGUUGUAAACUGCUUUUGUACGGAACGAAAAGACUCUUUCUAAUAAAGAGGGUCCAUGACGGUACCGUAAGAAUAAGCACCGGCUAACUACGUGCCAGCAGCCGCAGUAA